This 253-nucleotide ribosomal RNA is filed under the name uncultured bacterium. RNAcentral describes it as "partial 16S ribosomal RNA". It matches the Rfam family "Bacterial small subunit ribosomal RNA", at positions 524 to 776 of the family's 1533-position model. The record is from RNAcentral.
UACGGAGGGUGCAAGCGUUAUCCGGAUUCACUGGGUUUAAAGGGUGCGUAGGUGGCUUAGUAAGUCAGUGGUGAAAUCUCCGGGCUUAACCCGGAAACUGCCAUUGAUACUAUUAGUCUUGAAUACCGUGGAGGUCAGCGGAAUAUGUCAUGUAGCGGUGAAAUGCUUAGAUAUGACAUAGAACACCAAUUGCGAAGGCAGCUGGCUACACGAAUAUUGACACUCAGGCACGAAAGCGUGGGGAUCAAACAGG